UACGGCGGAUGCGAGCGUUAUCCGGAUUUAUUGGGUUUAAAGGGUGCGUAGGCGGACGGUCAAGUCAGCGGUAAAAAUGCGGUGCUCAACGCCGUACAGCCGUUGAAACUGGCAGUCUUGAGUGGGCGAGAAGUAUGCGGAAUGCGUGGUGUAGCGGUGAAAUGCAUAGAUAUCACGCAGAACCCCGAUAGCGAAGGCAGCUUACCAGACUGUUACUGACGCUGAAGCACGAGAGCGUGGGUAGCGAACAGG
Molecule: ribosomal RNA, 252 nt
Filed under: uncultured Bacteroidales bacterium
Lineage: Bacteria; Pseudomonadati; Bacteroidota; Bacteroidia; Bacteroidales
Description: partial 16S ribosomal RNA
Rfam family: Bacterial small subunit ribosomal RNA
Source: RNAcentral